This 468-nucleotide ribosomal RNA is filed under the name uncultured bacterium. Its description in RNAcentral is "partial 16S ribosomal RNA". It matches the Rfam family "Bacterial small subunit ribosomal RNA", at positions 28 to 507 of the family's 1533-position model. The record is from RNAcentral.
GACGAACGCUGGCGGCGUGCUUAACACAUGCAAGUCGAACGGACGGGCCCUGCUUUUGUUGUUUUCUUGAUUGGCGAACGCGUGAGUAACACGUGAGUAACCUGCCCUUGUCUUUCUGGUAACAUCAGGAAACUCGGGCUCUUACCCGGUAGGAUCUUCUGCUGCAUGUUGGUGGUUGGAAAGUUUCGGCGGUUGUGGAUCGUCUCGCUGCUUAUCCGCUUGAUUGUGAGGUAGUGGCGUACCAGGGCUUCGAAGGGUAGCCUGCCUGUGAGGGUGACCGGGGACAUUGGGACUGAGAGACGGCGCAGAAUCCUACGGGAGGCAGCAGGGGGGAGUAUUGCACAGUGGGCGGAAGCCUGAGGCAGAGACGCCGCGUGCGGAAUGACGGCCUUCGGGUUGUAAACAGCUUUCGCCGGAGACGAAGAGUGAGUGACGGUAAUGGGUAAAGAAGCAACGGCUAACUACGUG